This 3670-nucleotide long non-coding RNA is filed under the name Homo sapiens (human). RNAcentral's name for it is "HSALNT0374015". The record is from RNAcentral. Lineage: Eukaryota; Metazoa; Chordata; Mammalia; Primates; Hominidae.
AAUUUGGAAUCUGGAAAGAAGGAGUCAAUAAGCAAACAGGUUAACUGCUAGACCUAGGUUAGCACUAGAUCUCAAAAAGUGCUAAACCAGACAUGGGGAAGUGUUAUACCAUUGAUCACAGAGAUGCCCUUCCUGUUACUCAAGAAGCACAGUCAUUCUCAAAGCCAGGAUUGCUGGGGAGACAACAACGCCGCAGGUGAUCUGGAGGCUCCUGGAGGACCUCAGCGACUCAGGUCCAGUCCAAGGAGGGCCGCAGAUCAGGCUGAAGAAGGAUGGAUCCACAUGCUUAGAGGAGAUCGAGAAAUGCAGAAACAGCCAUUGACCACAUCAGUUACAUUGCCAAUGCCUCCAGAAGACUCCCUCACCGCUGCCUGCUGAUUAUGCCCACACCGCAGCUGCUGCUGCCCAAAAUGACUGUCCCAAAGCUACUAAUGUACAGGGCACUAAUUUGUCUGGAAGGCUGGCUCCAUGUUGCAGAGCUCCCAGCAAAGUCUUUCACCCUUGCCAAUGCUGCUAGAACAGAGCUGCCACUUUGCACUCUUAAUAUCCAGGCAAAUUUUAGUGAAUUUCCCCCACUUUCUUUCUUUUUUUUCUUCUGUUAUUUACAUUCCCACACCAUGCCUUUUGGGCAAGGACUUCUUAGGAGCUAAGCCAAAUAUCCAAGUGGCAGACAUGGUGUGGUUCUCACAAUCCCUUCUCCCUCUCCAACCCUGGACCUGUGUCCUCAAGUCAUACUCUGGCACUUAGGAUGAGUCUUUUCAUAGGAUUCCCCUUGAUCCUUCACUCAACCUUAAAGGACUCACCUCUGUUAUCCUGCAGACAUGUCCAGAUCAGCUGAUUCCUAAGUGCACACAACAUCUCUGGAUAUAUACAUAUAUACGUAUAUCCUCACAAAGUUAAUUACAUUUCAUAUUUCUGUUAGACAGUCAAUAACAUUCUCAAUAGGCUUGUUUCCAAUAUCUUUGAAUAAUAAUAGUUAAUAUGUAUUUAUCUCCUCCUAUAUACCAGGCACCGUAUUGUUUUACGACAUCAUCUCAUUCAAUACUGUCAAUAUUCCCAGGUGGGAGGUGCUUCUGUUGUCUUCAUUUUACAGAUGAAGAAACAGAUGCCUCAAGACACUAAAUACCUACCCAAGAUCACACACCGAGCAUUAUAGAGCUGUUUCUAACUCCAGCUGUCUGUCUCCAAAGCCUAUAGGGUGCAGCACGUUCCUCUUUCAUGACACUGGAAAGAUGCCUAUUAUUAUGGCUAUGCAUCAAGUCUGCAAGAGGAUCUUCUAGAUUGUUUAAUUUUUUUUAAUAUUGCUUUUAAAUGGGCAUCAUUGUGUCUACGUUUUUUCUAGGUUCAGCUUAGUCUAACUUGACUUACGUUCUUUUUCUGAACAACAUUUUGUUAAAGAAAAUAUUUCAUAAGGCAACUCACACAGUAACAUUCUAAAAGAUGUGGUCUUUCCAGGCUUUUCUAUCCAACUUGCCCCCAUUUUGAUUAAAUAUGCUGGAAAAACUUCUUUGGAUUAAAAUUGCCCUUUUAAAAAUCACAGACAAAUCUGGGCAAAUAGUAAAGCAUUAUUUCUCUUUCGAUUACAGUAGAAACCCCGAGACAACUAGAACUGAUUUGCUCAGGAGCCCUGUGGGGGACAUUCAUUUUGGGAUUCAAAGGGGACUGCUGCCCCUCUUUAACCUGAGCAGGGAACAGGAAGUGCCGCCGCAGCUCCACUGCCCAGUUCUGCAAAUCUUCUGGCUUGUUGUUUGGCGCUGGGUGUGUGUUAAUCAUUCACCUCAAGGAUUUCUUAAAGAGUAUUUAUUCCCAAAAUAGAGAUGUGGAAGUCAGCCUAUACCACUGGGCAAUAAUUCCAUCUCCUGUAACUUUCCCAUAGGAGUAAAUCUAAUCAAUGUCACUGUUGUUGAAAUUAUAAAAGUGAACCAACUACAGAGUGGAAUUUCCCCCCAACCGCUCCCUCCCUCUUGUUUUCGUGUACUUUGUAACCUGAGGAGAAGUUUCCAUGAGGAAGCAGAGUUUAUGUUGAAGUUACUGAGUGAUGUAUGGGAGAUCUCAAACACAGAAACUGCCUUUAGACGUUAAAAAAGAAUAAAACUCUGUUGUGCCCACGAUGGACUUGUGCAAGUAGAAUGCUCAAUGUUUUCCUUUGCAGAAACAUUGAUCCCCUUACAGGAGGAUCUUACAAGAUACCCACUGUGCUCCAUUCUCAUGUCCCCAUGGUCGUAGAGCUGCCUAAAUAACAUUGCCCAGGAGAGAUUUUUAUCCCUUGGCAAUGAUGCUCAUUCAUGAUUGUGUGGGCAGCACACUUAGCUUUACUUGGGAAAAGAUUUCCUAAUGUAGUGUUGCCUGGCUAAAUAUAAGCUGUCUUUGCACACAUGAAACUAAGUGGAGACUUGACUUAAUGAUCUCGUAACUCUGGUUAGUGCUUCAAUUUAGAAAGAAAAGUGAGUGGGCUUUUCUUUAGUUUUGCAACAGUAAUUUCUUAAAAGCCAAGAAACUUCACAUUUGUAGUUAUGCCUAGGAUGAAAGUUGUUGAAGCUUCUAUUCUUGAUUCCACCUUUGUUCAUGAUUGCUUAUUUUUAAUCUUUUCCAUCUAAACUGUAUUCUGAAAAUUAGUAUAAUCAUGUGAACAUUUCUGAACCACAACAUUUAAUAGAAUUGAAUCAAGAACAAAAAAGUUUCACCUAGCAGUUUUUUGACACUUGACAGAUGAUGUUUACAUUUAUUUACUGUCUGACAAAAUUAUCUGAAACCUAACUCAAGGUUUAAUUUUCAUUGGGGGCUUCACAAUGAAAGGGUUGACAGCAGUGUCCUCAUUCAAUCCUCAGGCUCAGCCCUUUCCUCUCAGUGGACCUCAGUGGCACUGAAUCAGGUUAAUCAGAAUCCUUGAGGCAGAACAUAGCGCCUCUUUGGUCAUUCAUUCAUUUAUGUAGGUAUCGUUUUUUAUUUUUAUUUUUUUUGAGACAGAGUUUCGCUCUUGUUGCCCAGGCUGAAGUUCAGUGGCGGAUCUUGGCUCACUGCAACCUCCGCCUCCCAGGAUCAAGCGAUUCUCCUGCCUCAGCCUCCCAAGUAACUGGGAUUACAGGCAUGUGCCACCACCCCAGGCUAAUUUUGUAUUUUUAGUAGAGACGGAGUGUCUCCAUGUUGAUCAGGCUGGUCUCGAACUCCUGACCUCAGGUGAUCCACCCACCUCAGCCUUCCAAAGUGCUGGGAUUACAGACAUGAGCUACUGCACCUGGCCAUAGGUAUCUACUUUUCAAAAUUCAGUAAGCACCUGUAAAUUCACCAUCCAACCUGAAGGCUAGGACUUUGACAAUUUCCAUCUAGCUACAUGGCUGUUCCCCUUCUAAUCUUUCUGUUUCCCCAUCCAAAGCAGCCACUAUCCUGAUUCACAGGUCUCUGGUUCCCUUACUUCCUUCGAAUAUAGUUAGCUCAUCUAUAUGUAUUCCUCAAAGUAAAUAUUUUUAGUUUAGAUGCUUUUACUUAGGAACACCUAUUAUUUUACCAAAAGAGUACCCAUAAUAAAAAGGGCCUGUGCUAUAUGUAAUAUUCUGAGUCUUUUCUUCCUCCAUUUAAUAAAACUUUUAAAGAUUAAUCUUUUUUAAAAAAAGAUUUAAUUUUGAGGGUCUUGCUUUGGGUACUGGCUCUGAAACUUGCAGGGUGCAUUGAA